GUUAUUCGUAGUAUCUCCCAGGCUAUGACUUGUCUCUUCCUAACAGGGUCUUUGAAGAGCAUUUAAAAUUUUUUCAUAAUAUUCAAUUUAUUAUUUUUUUUCUUUAGUGGCUUAUGGUUUUAUACCCUAUUUAUAUCAUCUUUGCUGACACUAAAGUCACGUGGAUUUUCUUUGUUUUCUUCCAAAAGUAGUAUACUUUCAUUUUCAGUUUUAGACUCUUAAUUCAUUUUGUGUCCUCUUUUGUAUAUGAUGUGAGGGAAGGAAAGAUGCUUUUUUUUUUUUUUUUUUUACUUUUCCUUGUGGAUAUCUAAUUUUCACAGCACCAUUUGUGAAAGGUCUUUCUGUUCCCAGUUGAUUGCCUUGACACCUUUGUUUUUUAUAAAAGUAAUCAAACAGGUGCAGGUUUAUUUCUUAACUCUAUUUUUCCCAUUAAUCUAUGAAGAUGAUUCUUGUGCAAGGACUAUAUUACUGGAUAAAAACAGAUGGAAAGCUACGGACUCUUUUCUCUGCUAUUGAGCCCAUUCCAGAAUUUUUUUAUUUCAGGUAAUGUAUCUUCAUAGUUCCAAAGUUUCCAUUUGAUUGAUUUAAAACAUUUUAUAUUUCUCUUUUGAGAUUUCACAUCUUUCCAUUCAUCAUAAUCCUACUACUUUUAAUUCAUUGAACAUAGUAACACCACCUGUUAAUGUCCUUGAACUAUGAUAUCUGAGUCAUCUCAGCAUUGACCUCUGAUGCUUUUCUUUUGUAAAUGGGUCACAUUUCCACAUUUCCCUAUAUUUCUUAUACUCACAUAAUUUUAAAUUUUAUUUUGGACAUUGUGAAUGUUAUUUUGUGGAGGCUGUGGAUUUUACUAUGUUCCUUCAGAAAGUCUUAAAUUUUCUUUGUGU
RNAcentral lists this long non-coding RNA (884 nucleotides) under Papio anubis (olive baboon). Its description in RNAcentral is "lncRNA (ENSPANG00000050072.1)". The record is from RNAcentral. Lineage: Eukaryota; Metazoa; Chordata; Mammalia; Primates; Cercopithecidae.